This 1841-nucleotide long non-coding RNA is filed under the name Aquilegia coerulea. RNAcentral's name for it is "long non-coding RNA (ACOE_LNC002137)". Lineage: Eukaryota; Viridiplantae; Streptophyta; Magnoliopsida; Ranunculales; Ranunculaceae. The record is from RNAcentral.
AUGCCGAAAUACAUUUUUCCGUCUUCGUCGUCAGUUUCGAAAUGAGUUAUUUGCUGCUCUGAAUUUGUCAUCAGUUUCCUUCAACUAAUUGAGUUCUUUGCUGCUCUUAAUUCAUCAUCGGUUUCCUUGAUGGUGAGUAAGUAGGCGCUAAUUUCUUCACCAAAUUGACUGAAUUUAAUGCAAUUUAUUUUUUGCUUUCUCGCAUAUGGCCUCAGUCUAUGGUCAGUUUGUAGAAUUUGUGAUAAUCUCUAUGCCAACAUUCUUAUUUUUGUUGUCAAUUGAAUAUUUGAAUGUUGCAAAUUUAAACGAAACAUGAUGCAGCCACGAAGAUUUCCACUUAUUUUACCUUCACACUACAAUACUACAUAUUAGCUUAUGUUAGAACCCAGCCAUGAUAGACACUGUAACAGCCUUCAUUUCUCUUAGUUGUAACUUCAUUUACUCAGUUUUAUUUAUCAAACAAAUAGACUUUGUAAUUUUACCAAAUAGGGGAGUUGCAGCUGCUUUGUUUUCACGUCUAAAGGCGAAUAGAUAAAAUGAGACUUCACUGCACAGAGAAAACGAUCCCUUUCCUUUUUGUAGUUCAUUUGCCUUUUAUACGGUCAAAUUUGUUUGAUGGACGCUAAAUCUUUCUUCGCCCAAUUAGUGGAUAACAAAGUGGUGGAUGCAUAUUGUCUACCUAGGCAGCUACUUUCUAGAUUCUGAAACUGUUUAUGUUAUACCAUCUGUAAAUUCCUUUCUUAACAUGAUGUGAUUUUUAAUUCAAUUUAUUCAAUUCGCAUGUCCGUGCAGAUUAAUGUUUUCAGCUGACCAACAAACAUCUGGACAACAAAGUGAGCUAUUUAUCUUGCAUUAAUACACUUAAAUUACAUCUAGAAUUUAUAGAGUUGUUUUAGUUCAAAACGGUUUGAGCUUGACCCCAAAAUGUUCCACUAGCACUUGGCAUUGGAUUUUAUUUCAGUACAAGAGGAAUGCGAUCUGCUACCCAACCACUUUGUUGCCUUUUGUACUGAAAGUGUAACCUGUCACACUAACAAGCUGACUGCUACCAAGGCGAGCAUAUUGAGUUUUUGGCCUGUCUAUGGUAAUGGCUGACUUACCACGUUUUUUCACUAUGCCACCAGAUUGAACAUUUUGUUUAGAAUCCAUCUUUGUGUGUGUGAUUGGUUUAUAGUUUAUAGGUGCUUUGUAAAUUCUCUGUUCUAUUCUCUUCUUUGGCAGGCCCUUCUUUGCUUGCUGAGCGCAUCUGAUCUCGACCAUGGUAGGUGUGGUUCUGUGCAUUUAUGGGUACAUGGUAUUGGCAAACUCAUGAUUUCUGUUAUUCUUUCCUCACUCUUUUGUGCUUAAUCAGUUCCAUAGGCGCUUUGCGAAAUCUCUAUGCUAUUAUUAUUCUCUUCUUUCGGGCAAGACCUUCUUUGAUUGACAAGUUCAUCUAAUCUCAACCAUGGGAAAUUGGCAAGUGUGGCUCUGUACACUUUUGGCUCGAUGAUUUUAGCAAACUCCUGAUUUUUAUUUUUAUUUAUUUCAUUCUUCUUUAUAUGAAUAAAGAUAAUGGAUUACAUACGAAUGAGAGUGGGGAAGAGUAGUAGUAGUUGAUUGUUUAUAUGUUAGUAUAGCAGUCUAAUAUAGAUGACUAUAUUUGAAAACUGGAGAUCUAUACCAGAAACAAGCAUAUGUAAAACACUAUUCCAUAUACAGCACUUGACUCAAUCAUCUUCCUCGGGUAUAAUAUUUAAUAUAGUUAUGUCUGCCUGCAUAUUUAGAUACACUAAAGAUGGUAAUAAGAGAGUUCUGAAAUGAUAAGCUUGGCUCAUAUAAAUCGAGAAUUCAUUCGUGUCGCU